Dermacentor andersoni is the source of this 184-nucleotide small nuclear RNA. RefSeq annotates it as U2 spliceosomal RNA. Lineage: Eukaryota; Metazoa; Arthropoda; Arachnida; Ixodida; Ixodidae. The record is from RefSeq and is a predicted model, not a curated record.
ACACGGCCGACGUAGGUCAAAUUGUAGUAUCUGUUCUCAUGAGCUUAAUAUCUGAUACGGGUUCUAGUUGGACCCAAGAUAUUAAACUUAUCUUUGCAAGUUGGCGGAGUGCUUGAAGCCUGCUUCAUCUCCGCCGCGAGUCGGCCCGGUAUUUCACUAUCUUCGGGAUAUCACCUCACGGUUU